Molecule: long non-coding RNA, 333 nt
Organism: Armigeres subalbatus
Lineage: Eukaryota; Metazoa; Arthropoda; Insecta; Diptera; Culicidae
Exons: 3
Source: RefSeq, a predicted model, not a curated record
UAAACAAACCGAACUUCCAUCAAAAUAACUAAAAAAAAAUUGUUUUUCUCAAGUGGACAAAAAUGAACCGGACAUAAUGAGGACUGCUGUUGCUAAUUAUCAAGAACUCAUUUGGUCUAAAAAUGUGGCACGGAAACCAUUCGCCAAGACAUCAUACCAAGCAUACGAUGUAAGUAGGGAAAAUGGAAUUUCCCUCAAAUAAAUCCACGGAGAUGUAACCAGAUAAAUAUCGACAUAAAUCCUGCCAGUUUAAAAAAAAAACGUUGUACAGGAGGAAGAAUAACAAAAUUAAUUAAAUGUAACAAAUAUAAUAAAGAACAAAAAUAUAAAAAC